GGAGUUAGCCGGUGCUUCUUCUGUGAGUGAUGUCCUUCCUGCCGGCUAUUAACCCGCAGGCCUUCUUCCUCACUGAAAGUGCUUUACAACCCGAAGGCCUUCUUCACACACGCGGCAUGGCUGGAUCAGGGUUGCCCCCAUUGUCCAAUAUUCCCCACUGCUGCCUCCCGUAGGAGUCUGGGCCGUGUCUCAGUCCCAGUGUGGCUGAUCAUCCUCUCAGACCAGCUACGGAUCGUCGCCUUGGUGAGCCGUUACCUCACCAACCAGCUAAUCCGACAUAGGCUCAUCCGAUAGCGCGAGGCCCGAAGGUCCCCCGCUUUCCCCCGUAGGGCGUAUGCGGUAUUAGCCUGGGUUUCCCCAGGUUAUCCCCCACUACCGGGCAGAUUCCUAUGCAUUACUCACCCGUCCGCCGCUCGCCACCAGGGAGCAAGCUCCCCGUGCUGCCGCUCGACUUGCAUGUGUUAGCUCGCCGCCACGCGUUCAUCUGAGCCAGAGACUAACUAACUACGUACGUACGUAGACGGGCGGUCGGUCGGACGGACGGCGACUAGUAG
This 554-nucleotide ribosomal RNA is filed under the name uncultured bacterium. RNAcentral describes it as "partial 16S ribosomal RNA". The record is from RNAcentral.